GACGAACGCUGGCGGCGUGCUUAACACAUGCAAGUCGAACGGAAAGGCCCUGCUUUUGUGGGGUGCUCGAGUGGCGAACGGGUGAGUAACACGUGAGUAACCUGCCCUUGACUUUGGGAUAACUUCAGGAAACUGGGGCUAAUACCGGAUAGGAGCUCCUGCUGCAUGGUGGGGGUUGGAAAGUUUCGGCGGUUGGGGAUGGACUCGCGGCUUAUCAGCUUGUUGGUGGGGUAGUGGCUUACCAAGGCUUUGACGGGUAGCCGGCCUGAGAGGGUGGCCGGCCACAUUGGGACUGAGAUACGGCCCAGACUCCUACGGGAGGCAGCAGUGGGGAAUAUUGCACAGUGGGCGGAAGCCUGAUGCGGCAACGCCGCGUGCGGGAUGACGGCCUUCGGGUUGUAAACCGCUUUCGCCUGUGACGAAGCGUGAGUGACGGUAAUGGGUAAAGAAGCACCGGCUAACUACGUG
This 468-nucleotide ribosomal RNA is filed under the name uncultured bacterium. Its description in RNAcentral is "partial 16S ribosomal RNA". It matches the Rfam family "Bacterial small subunit ribosomal RNA", at positions 28 to 507 of the family's 1533-position model. The record is from RNAcentral.